GAAAUGCGAUAAGUAGUGUGAAUUGCAGAAUUCAGUGAAUCAUCGAAUCUUUGAACGCACAUUGCGCCCCUUGGUAUUCCGGGGGGCAUGCCUGUUCGAGCGUCAUUUAACCCCUCAAGCCCAGCUUGGUGUUGGGUGCUUGUCCCGCCCCCGCGCGGCGACUCACCUCAAAGUCAUUGGCAGCCCGCAUCCGCCGGCCACGAGCGCAGCACAGUCGCGAUCGAGGCCAGGCAGGUCGGCUCUCCAGAAGCAACCCCAAUAUUGACCUCGGAUCAGGUAGGGAUACCCGCUGAACUUAA
RNAcentral lists this unclassified non-coding RNA (299 nucleotides) under uncultured Pleosporales. RNAcentral describes it as "sequence contains ITS1". The stretch from base 1 to 105 matches the Rfam family "5.8S ribosomal RNA", at positions 50 to 154 of the family's 154-position model. Lineage: Eukaryota; Fungi; Ascomycota; Dothideomycetes; Pleosporales. The record is from RNAcentral.